CAUUACACAAAUAUGAAGGCGGGCUGGAACCUCUCGGGGUUACAGCCUUGCUGAAUUAUUCACCCUUGUCUUUUGCGUACUUCUUGUUUCCUUGGUGGGUUCGCCCACCACUAGGACAAACAUAAACCUUUUGUAAUUGCAAUCAGCGUCAGUAACAAAUUAAUAAUUACAACUUUCAACAACGGAUCUCUUGGUUCUGGCAUCGAUGAAGAACGCAGCGAAAUGCGAUAAGUAGUGUGAAUUGCAGAAUUCAGUGAAUCAUCGAAUCUUUGAACGCACAUUGCGCCCUUUGGUAUUCCAAAGGGCAUGCCUGUUCGAGCGUCAUUUGUACCCUCAAGCUUUGCUUGGUGUUGGGCGUCUUGUCUCUAGCUUUGCUGGAGACUCGCCUUAAAGUAAUUGGCAGCCGGCCUACUGGUUUCGGAGCGCAGCACAAGUCGCACUCUCUAUCAGCAAAGGUCUAGCAUCCAUUAAGCCUUUUUUCAACUUUUGACCUCGGAUCAGGUAGGGAUACCCGCUGAACUUAAGCAUAUCAAUA
This 535-nucleotide ribosomal RNA is filed under the name Alternaria sp. FL-2010a. RNAcentral's name for it is "eukaryotic LSU rRNA". The stretch from base 171 to 324 matches the Rfam family "5.8S ribosomal RNA". Lineage: Eukaryota; Fungi; Ascomycota; Dothideomycetes; Pleosporales; Pleosporaceae. The record is from RNAcentral.